Paramisgurnus dabryanus is the source of this 684-nucleotide long non-coding RNA. RefSeq lists it as uncharacterized. The record is from RefSeq and is a predicted model, not a curated record. NCBI's taxonomy places the organism in Eukaryota, Metazoa, Chordata, Actinopteri, Cypriniformes, Cobitidae.
CAGAUGCGCAACUCCUCGAAACUUACGUUUGUCCUUGAAAUCCUGCGAGUAGCUGCAACAGAGACCGUUUGGAUUUGUUAUUUUCUUUUCUUAUUUUACACACACAGAAAUAUUCCGGGUUUCAGUGAAGGACCUAUCGACUGAUGGAUGUACGUUUGGAUGUAUUAGUGGGCCUGCUGUUUGGAGAGGGGCCCACUUAUCCUGUGAAGGGAGACAGAUCCAUCUGGCGAGGAGAGGGAAAGAGAGGUGAAGUGCCCUUUGACCUUUUGAAGGAGAGGGAAGCAGCUCCAUAUCUCAUGCUCAUCGGACAGCCUUGUUUGAUCUGGACUCACCUCAGUUCACACGUCUCAGCUUCUGGCCCCAACUUACAAGAGAGCUACACAGAAACUAUUGUGUGUUAAAGAACGUGGGUGUCGGCAUUCUUCUAAAAAAACCCACUCCUUCCAACACAUUUGAAAAACCUUCAUCGUUUCUCAUGAGCUGAACAUGGGAACUUGUCAAGGAUGUAUCUUUACGCGUGUUUUUAAAUGUAAUAAUUCAGUGUUAAAUGUAAUACUUCUAUGUUGAUUUAUUGAUAAUAAUAAUUUAAACCGUUCUGUUUAUUGCUUUAAUUCGGAUAAAAUGAAUAUGUGAGUAUCAGUCUGUAUUUUAUUGCUUUAAAUUAACAGCAUUUAUUAUUGCAAA